AGUAAAUUGGUUUAGUUAGAAAGGGCGCACGGUGGAUGCCUUGGCGAUAGGAGCCGAAGAAGGAAGGGACUAAACCGGAUAUGCUUUGGGGAGCUGUACGUAAGCGUUGAUCCAGAGAUUUCCGAAUGGUGGAACCGAC
This 139-nucleotide ribosomal RNA is filed under the name Listeria monocytogenes. RNAcentral's name for it is "partial 23S ribosomal RNA". It matches the Rfam family "Bacterial large subunit ribosomal RNA", at positions 1 to 132 of the family's 2925-position model. The record is from RNAcentral. Lineage: Bacteria; Bacillati; Bacillota; Bacilli; Caryophanales; Listeriaceae.